CGCUACAUCAUUCAAGGAAAUUCGUCGUAGAGGUCUUUCUCUUUACCAGAUUUCGUAGCUGAAGUUUAUGAAGUAAUCAAACCGGUGUUAACUUCUUAUAUAAAGGUAGAUUCCCAAACUUUGAAGAAACACUACAGUACUG
Long non-coding RNA from Cucumis sativus (cucumber), 142 nucleotides. RefSeq lists it as uncharacterized. The transcript has 3 exons. The record is from RefSeq and is a predicted model, not a curated record. Lineage: Eukaryota; Viridiplantae; Streptophyta; Magnoliopsida; Cucurbitales; Cucurbitaceae.